RNAcentral lists this transfer RNA (68 nucleotides) under Brachygobius doriae. Its description in RNAcentral is "tRNA-Ser". The record is from RNAcentral. Lineage: Eukaryota; Metazoa; Chordata; Actinopteri; Gobiiformes; Gobiidae.
GAGAGAGGCUUGCAAGCAACAAAGACUGCUAACCCUUGUUUCUCUGGUUGAAAUCCAGAGCUCCCUCA